UACGGAAGGCAGCAGUAGGGAAUCUUCCGCAAUGGACGAAAGUCUGACGGAGCAACGCCGCGUGAACGAUGAAGGCUUUCGGGUCGUAAAGUUCUGUUGUUAGGGAAGAACAAGUACCGGAGUAACUGCCGGUACCUUGACGGUACCUAACCAGAAAGCCACGGCUAACUACGUGCCAGCAGCCGCGGUAAUACGUAGGUGGCAAGCGUUGUCCGGAAUUAUUGGGCGUAAAGCGCGCGCAGACGGUCCUUUAAGUCUGAUGUGAAAGCCCACGGCUCAACCGUGGAGGGUCAUUGGAAACUGGGGACUUGAGUGCAGAAGAGGAGAGUGGAAUUCCACGUGUAGCGGUGAAAUGCGUAGAGAUGUGGAGGAACACCAGUGGCGAAAGGCGACUCUCUGGGUCUGUAACUGACGCUGAGGCGCGAAAGCGUGGGGAGCGAACAGGGAUUAGGAUACC
RNAcentral lists this ribosomal RNA (457 nucleotides) under uncultured bacterium. Its description in RNAcentral is "bacterial SSU rRNA". It matches the Rfam family "Bacterial small subunit ribosomal RNA", at positions 340 to 786 of the family's 1533-position model. The record is from RNAcentral.